RNAcentral lists this ribosomal RNA (918 nucleotides) under Triticum aestivum (bread wheat). RNAcentral describes it as "partial small subunit ribosomal RNA". Lineage: Eukaryota; Viridiplantae; Streptophyta; Magnoliopsida; Poales; Poaceae. The record is from RNAcentral.
AUGUGCGUACCUAAAAACCAAUGAGGGAUGGGAUUUCGUGAUAUUCACUGUUUCAAUCUGGCACUGCUCGCCAAACAGGCAUGGCGCCUUCUGAAUAAUCCGGAUUCUUUGUGCGCUACAAUUCUAAGGGCCAAAUACUAUCCUGAUGGCAAUUUGUUAAAUUCUAAGCAAAAGAAAGGCUCUUCUUUUACCUGGCAAAGUAUUAUGGCUGGCAUAAAUUCUCUGAAACGUGGCUAUAUUUGGCGUGUGGGGAAUGGACAAAAUAUCAAUAUUUGGGAAGAUGCCUGGAUCCCAAAUUGUGCUACUAGGAAAGUUGUGACACCUAAGGGGGGACAACUGUUAACUAAGGUGGGUGAUCUAAUUGAUCCUGCUUCGAAUACUUGGGAUGAAGACCUGAUUACACAAACAAUGUGGCCCAUUGAUGUUCAACGGAUUCUCUCGAUUCCAAUCUCGCAACAUGAUAUGCUAGAUUUCAUUGCUUGGAGUUAUACAAAAAAUGGUAUGUUCUCAGUUCGGUCUGCUUGUUUUGUGGAGUGGGACCAUCAGUAUGGAAGUAGACUAAGACAUUCGAAUGGGAUGGGGCGAACCACAGUUAAUCCUAUUUGGAGUAAGAUAUGGAAGUUAUCAUGUCCGACAAAAGUUAAAUUUUUUAUAUGGCGUACAUUACAUGGAACGCUUCCAUGCCGGGUUACGCUCGCAAAUAGGCAUAUGAAGGUCACGCCCAUUUGUCCUACUUGCUCUGAGGGUUCUGAAGAUACAAAGCAUAUGUUUUUCCUUUGCAGUAGAGCAAAGGAGGUUUGGACAAGGCUGGGGAUGGAUGAUAUCAUUGAUAAAGCUUGCGAGGUUGACCUUGCUGGAGAGGCGGUGUUGGAGUACCUACUACUUCUGCCAGACCAAGAAUUGAGGAUAAUGGGUUAG